RNAcentral lists this unclassified non-coding RNA (2567 nucleotides) under Hevea brasiliensis (rubber tree). Lineage: Eukaryota; Viridiplantae; Streptophyta; Magnoliopsida; Malpighiales; Euphorbiaceae. The record is from RNAcentral.
UUUUAAAGUAAAAUGUAGCUGGAGUACCCUUUUAUAUUUCAUUCGACAACUACUGGGUCAUUUUCUAGCGUAGCAUUCUUCAUAUUACUUUGAAGAUAAAAUAUGAGCUAGUACUUUAAUAAUAACAUGUCAAAGCUUCUCACAAUAUUAAUGCUGCAAUCUAUCAUGUAACUAAGCCAUCAUUUAGACAACAGCUCAAGUGAUUUCACGAUGCCUUUCUGAGUUAUUGAAACCUCCUGAAAAGACCUGAGGUGCAAAGACCUACAUGUCAACUGUAAUCUUUGCAUCCAGCUGAGAGAACUCUUGGAAAAAUGCCUUGAAAUGCUCGUAGGAAUACUUGACAUCAUCAACUGCACACAUCUCCCGGAUACUGUGCAUUGAAAACUGUGGGGCACCUACAUCAACUGUACGAAUUCCUACACCACUUGCAAGGAUUGGACCUAUGGUCGAACCACAAGGCAUGUCAUUGCGGACCACAAAAUCCUGAACAGGAAGGUUAUGCUUUGAUGCUAUCUCUCCAAAUAAAAAGGAAGUAACCGAAUUGGUUGCAUAGCGUUGAUUUGCAUUGUGUUUGAUCACGAGCCCUCCAUGCAUCUUGGGCUGAUGAUUAUCCUCAUGUUUGUCCAUAUAAUUGGGAUGAAAGGCAUGUGCCAUGUCAGCAGAUACAAGGAAACUCAUCUGAAUUGCUUUUUGAAGCAGCUGAAAAGAAAUCAAAGAAACAAAAACAAGUAUGUUUAUAAACAUAAACACAAAUCAUUGAAUUACAGUUGCAUUCUAGGACUAUUAUGCAGGUCAAUGUGAUGAGAAUCUCCCAUCUUUAUAGCAUAUGCAGAUUCUACAUAUUGGCCCAACAGAUAUUAUAACCCUUGUCUAGGAGAAUUGACUACCUGCAGCAAUCCAUGAAAAUUAGCCAAGAUAUUUAGAAGCAACACUUCAAUAAUCUCAGUUAAUAUUUUGUAUCCUAAAUUCCCAAUUGUAAAGUAUGAAAUGACAUAUAUACUGGAAUUCAAAAUUUACAAAUUGGCCCCCUAAUAGAAUAGAAGUGGAUUAAAUUUUUUUUCCUUCAAAAAACCCACAAUCAGAAAGGGAGCACCUUAGAAUCUGAGUUGAAGGAAUUUGUGAUCCGUGAUAGAGCAUCUAACAUGACAGGAGACCCAGCUCCUUGUGCUGAAUCAGAUCCAACCUCCUCAUGAUCAAACAAUGCCACCAUUCUAACACCACUCUCAUUCUCAAGAUCGUCUUUUGAAGAUGUAGUAUCUAUCAGUGCCUUUAGAGAGCAAAAUGACAUGCAAAGAUUAUCGAGCCUUCCAGAGAAAAUAAAUUCUUUAACAGCACCACCUAUUAUACUCGGUUGGGUAUCACAUGCUUGUAAUUCAAAAUCACAUAUAUCAUCUGGUUUGCAGCCAAUCUGACUUGCAAUCAUCUCUAGUAGAAUUGAGUGAUGCUUUGAGUAAAUGGUAGAUUUCUUCCCAUCAGUUUCAUUUCCGAUGGGACCAUUUUCCUCAACCACUUUAUUGAGCUCUGCCUUAACAGAAGUUGCCAAUAUAGGAAUAAGAUGAUUCUGUGUGUUCACCUUAAACCCAUCAUUAUUGACGUUCCUGUAUACAGGAUAUAAACAAGAAAUGCCAAAACCCAGGAUGAGAGCUGAGAGCUUACAAUCCUAAAACCUAAACCCAUAAAAUAAAUAUAUAAAUAAAUAUAUAAGUACUAAGGGAAACAGGAAAACACUUGCGGUCUAUAAAUAGAUUAAAAAGAAAGCAUUACUCAUGACAAAGUAUAUUUAUUUAUCAAUGUAACCUGUCUAAGUGAAUUGCCAGGGUGGGCACACGCAUAAUGGGCUCCUCGAUUCUAACCAGACGAUGUGAAAAGGAAAUAGAGCCAUCCUUUUCUUCUCUUACUAUCACCCGUCCUGCCACUGCCAAAUCACGAUCAAACCAUGUAUGCCAUAAACCACUUCCAUAUAGCUGAACUCCAACCUCCAAAAACCCACCCUUCGUUACCUUGGAAAUAGGCUUCAACUUAAUGCAAGGACUAUCAGUGUGAGCACCAACCACAUAAAAUCCAUUUCCAGCAACGUAUCUUUUACCAAUGGCAAAUGCAACAAUGGUAGAGUGAUUCCUAGUGAAGAAAUAUCGCUUGCCGGGUUCCAGCUUCCAAUCUUCUCUCUCAGAAACUUGCACGUAUCCAACAUUUAUCAAACGCCUCUUUGCCUCAUCAACGGCGUGAAAAGCUGUAGGAGAAGCGUUUAAGUAGUGGAUGAGAUCGGAGGCAACAGAGCUCGCUUCACUGUAAGUUUCUUGCUUCGCCAUUUUUUAAAGAAAAAUAAAUAUUAAUUUGGAUUGAUAGCUUGAAACAAUAGACUUAGUAAUUGUCAACGAAGAAAGUGGACUAGGGUACAUAUAGGGCCUAAGGCCCACUGUGGGCAUCUCGUACAGGUUAAGUAUGGCACAAAGCUUAUGGAAUUUGUCCUCGCAAAGAUUAAAAAAAUUCGAAGGCUUUGUCUCAUAUUUCAAAGGGAUAAUUUUGGUUCCUAACUAUAAUAUGCAAAGGAGCUAGAAUGCCUAAAC